UUUACAAACUUGGGGAUGAGUUAUAAUAAUUUUACAGUAAAUGAAAGCAUGUCACAGCUUAUCCUCUCUAUUGAACCAACAUUCCUGCAAAUGCACGUGUAACUUGUUUGAGGCUAUUUGCUUUAAAUUAAAAAAAAAACAUUGGUCAAUGAGUGUUUUCUUCUAUCAGAGCAUCCCUUCUCUUUUUCCCUUGCUAUUUCUCAAACACACAGUAAUACAGCACCGUUUUCCUUAUUUCCUUAUUUUCCUUAUCUUUGUUCUCCCGUGAGUCCAGUAGAUUGCGCUCUUUCAUAUUGAAAUGUAGGACAGGUGAGCUCCGUAAGCUUUGAUGUUUUGCUGUUAGGCUGUUCACUGGUCAUUCUCAGUUAAACUGUUGCAGCAAAGAGCUUGCGCAUGUGUUUUGUUCCUUUGUGUUUCUAACUAAAAUAUAUAUAAUCCCCACUUGAAAUGCUCUAUUUGUUGGAAAUAGAGGUCAAGAGUAGAGAGUCAGUUGUUCUCUCGGUUACUUUCAAACUGCUGCAUGAUGUAAACUUGCAUCGGAUCAUUUGUAGCCUUCUCAUCUUUCAUCUGCAUCGCUCAUGUGCAUUUGGCCUUGUUCUGACGUUCAGAGGUGUGUAUGUAUCGGGCUGGCUGUGUGUUUUUAAUUGUAUGCCAGUCCGCAUUGCCAUCAGCCCUCAGGAAGGGUCAGUGACAGCUCAUUCCUAACAAGUGACAUCAACAAACUGCUGCAGCCAAUCCUAUGCAAGAGCCCUCGUGCGUGAGCCCUCAAACUAGUGUCAGAAUAAGCAAAGCUCUCUCACUUCCACAGCAAUCAUAACAGUUCCCGAGACAAGAAUGGAAAGACAGGAAGGACAAUAUCCGCCCUUCCUUAGCUGUUCCAAGGAAGUGUGGCGAGGGCACAAGAAACCUUUAAUAGGUCAUUAUGCCAAGUAUUGAAGCUUUUUUCCUUUUUUUUUGUUUAGAUAUU
Long non-coding RNA from Sinocyclocheilus anshuiensis, 967 nucleotides. RefSeq lists it as uncharacterized. The record is from RefSeq and is a predicted model, not a curated record. Lineage: Eukaryota; Metazoa; Chordata; Actinopteri; Cypriniformes; Cyprinidae. The transcript is spliced from 2 exons.